UUUUAAUAUCAUUAUUGUAAAUCAUCAAAUUAUAUAUCACGUGGUUAAUUUCCUUAGAUGGUCACAUGAUUUACAUUUCCUAAUAUGGUACACAGAAAUAUCACAUGCAAUCCUUAUAUGGUUUAACUUCCUAAUAUGGUCGUCAUGCUAACCGUUCGACUACUUUUUCACUUGUAAAAUCUAAUCAAACACAAUGUACUUACAUACGAUGAACAUUCUUCCCCAUUCAGCACUAUAAUUUUCCCUUGCACUGUGUUACAUAGCUCUUUACUAGAUAUUGAUAGUUCGAAAACACAAGAGGCUUUCAUGCGCACAUUUUCAAUCUGAUCACUGUUCAUUAUAUGGUUCAUCAACACUCUGUUGAUAGAAGGAUCUAUCUCUCCACUAAAGAAUUUAAUGGCAUCAUCUCGACAAUCUAAUAUGUCUUCACUCCUAUAACAUUCAGCUGUAUUUGUUGCAACACUUCCCUCAUGGCUAAAUGACAAUAAACAACUCACGACAACAAUCAAAAACAUGGCGAUCAUCUUCAAUUUCUAUAGAGUGUGAAAAGGUGACGACACGUGAGUGAAUAAAGGAAAGCUUUUUAUUAUUUUUACCUGAUUAAAAGAACGAUUUUGUUUUAAAGAAAAAAAGAAUUUCAUCAUAUUUUGUUUUGUUUUCUUAUCACUUAUUUAAAUUUUAUUUAUUACUUAAAAACGAAUACUUUAUUACAAUUGAAUAUAUG
RNAcentral lists this long non-coding RNA (724 nucleotides) under Mytilus galloprovincialis (Mediterranean mussel). The record is from RNAcentral. Lineage: Eukaryota; Metazoa; Mollusca; Bivalvia; Mytilida; Mytilidae.